ACCUUUUUGCAUAAUGAGUCAGCGAGUUGCUUGUUGUAGCAAGGUUAAGCCGAGAGGUGUAGCCGUAGGGAAACCGAGUCUGACAAGGGGCGAUUCAGUUACAGCGAGCAGACCCGAAGCCAAGUGAUCUAUCCAUGGACAGGCUGAAGCGUGGGUAAAACCGCGUGGAGGGCCGAACCCACUGAAGUUGAAAAUUCAGGGGGAUGAGCUGUGGAUGGGGGUGAAAGGCCAAUCAAACUUGGGAAUAGCUGGUUCUCCCCGAAAGGCAUUUACGUGCCGCCUCGGGUAGCACCGUCGAGGGUAGAGCACUGAAUGGGCUAGGGGGGCUUUCCAGCCUACCAAACCCAAUCAAACUCCGAAUCUCGAUGAGUGACGCACGGGAGUGAGACAGCGGGGGAUAAGCUUCGUUGUCGAGAGGGAAGAGCCCAGACCGCCAGCUAAGGUCUCAAGUACACGCUAAGUGGUCGAGGAUGUGGGGUAACCUAGACAACCAGGAGGUUGGCUUAG
Molecule: ribosomal RNA, 507 nt
Filed under: uncultured bacterium
Lineage: Bacteria
Description: bacterial LSU rRNA
Rfam family: Bacterial large subunit ribosomal RNA
Source: RNAcentral